UCAGACAUUGUCUGGAUCCACUGCAGAUGGGCUAAAAAUACCAAAAUAUCAGCACUCCAGCCAGCGCUCCAAGCAGGGAUUCUAGCAAUUCCCAUCAAUGUAUCAGAAGCAGUGGAGGGAGACUGAUUGUGGCAGAUGCACAGCCUCUUGGGUCGUGUAAGGGUCAUGGGGUAGCCUGGAGCCUAUCUCAGGGAACUUAGGACAUAAUGUGUAGGAUAUCCUGGACAGGGUGCCAACCCAUCGCAGAGCACAAUUGCACACACUCACACACUACGGACAAUUUGGAAAUGCCAGUCAGCCUUCAACACAUGUAUUUGGACUGUAAAGCCAGAGUACCUGGAGGAAAUCCCUGAAGCACGGAAGGAACAAAAAAAAAAGUUCCACACAUGGCAA
This is a long non-coding RNA of Ictalurus punctatus (channel catfish), 393 nucleotides long. Lineage: Eukaryota; Metazoa; Chordata; Actinopteri; Siluriformes; Ictaluridae. The record is from Ensembl.